AUAAAAUGAGUUAGGGAGGAGUCCUUCAUUUUCUGUUUUUUGGAAUAAUUUCAGAAGUAAUGGUAUCAGCUCCUCUUUUUACCUCUGGUAGAAUUCGGCUGUGAAUCCAUCUGGUCCUGGGCUGUUUUUGAUUGUGGAAAUCUAUUUUGUGUAGGAUAUUGGAGACCAAGAUAAGCAGCUUUAUACCUGGAAAUGGGCCUGCCUUUCCUUCAGCUGAACCCUUAAUGUGAAGGCCAGGGGAAAGAGUAAAUCUAGUGACACAACAAUGUGAAAAUACUUUCACUUCAACCCCAUGAAGAUUACAUAGAAGAAAAUGCCAGAUGAAGUUCCUUAUUGUUUCUCAUUCACAGAAUUUAUUUCCACUAAGUUAUUAAAAAAAUGGGCAAAAGAAAGUGGAACUUCAACUGUUCCUUAGGACAAUACGGACUUGUGUUUUUGAAGAAGCAAAGUGGAAAUGAUUAGGCAGCAGGGACUCUUUGCAGAAAAACGUAAGGAGCAAAGAAAAAUUUCUCAGAAAAGGAGAUUUGAAGCACAAUUGUCAUCAGUUCACAGAAGAAUUUUGAAGUUCUGUUUCCAGAGGCCUCUCUCUGCCUGCCCAGAGACUGUACAUCUUCAGAGAUGAGCAAAACUCUGCACUCUGCAAAAUCAGCACCCUCUGUCUAAUCAAAAGUUAACUUGGCCCAGGUUUUAGUUUCUCUGUAAGUUUUGUUGGAAAGUAAUAUAAUAAAUCUUAUUACAAGAUACAGCUGAUUAUGUAUACAUUAUGUCUUUGGAGAAAUUUGCAUUUUAAGAGGAAGGUCAAGGAUGCCUUAAUUACAAACAUUGCAUUUUUGGUUAUUUAAAUAGUAUCUGGGAAAACGGUGAAGAUAUAUAGGAAGUUAAGAAAGAUACCUGUAUCUACCACGUGUGAAAGAUUAUCUCAGUAAAUAGAAUUGGCUACAUAUUCAUCUAUUAUAAUAAUACCAAAAAAGAAGAUAUAUAUCUUCAAAGCGUCACAAUUUUUGUAGUCAGCAAAAUGAAUGGCAAAGAUAAUGAGAGAAUAAAGAUACAAAAAUGAGUAUUUAAAAAUAGAAUUCCAAUGGGAAAACUGUUAAUUUUAAAAAUUAUAUGUAAAGAUGAGGUUGCUGUUAAGCAUUUUACACCAAUAGAGAUAUCAAUUGGAAUAUUUUAUGUGAAGAAAAGAAAUAAUGACUUAACUUUGUCAAUAAAGAAAGCA
This 1216-nucleotide long non-coding RNA is filed under the name Homo sapiens (human). RNAcentral's name for it is "HSALNT0019517". Lineage: Eukaryota; Metazoa; Chordata; Mammalia; Primates; Hominidae. The record is from RNAcentral.